AGGAGUACAAAUUAGUAAUAGCCCUGACUUUUCCUAAAGAAUUACCAUCCUAUGCCAUUGAAAAUAACUUUAAAAUAAACUUCAUAAGAUAUUCCUUAAAAAUCGCCAAUCAAUUAAUUAUGCAUUUAGUAAUUUGUUUCCAUAUUCUGCGCCACAUAUUUCAACAAUACCUAAUAUAUUGAUUAUCAUAUAUUUUCAAAUAUUCGAUUUAGUUUAAAAAUUGAAGGCAGAGGAUAUUUUCACUCAAUAAUUCAUUGGCUUGGGAAGACAAACCCUAUGACAUCGAUCAAGGAUGUUGAUUCUCACUGCAAGAGUCCUAUCAGCAAAGGCCUUGUAUGUGUGGCUGAUAUCAAGUUCCCUCUGCCGUACAUGCCAAAAUCUUUCUCUCAUAUGCUCUGGAUUAUCUCCCACACAACCUAAACAAGACCAUGCCUGAAUUUGCUAGAGUUGCUUCAGAUGGUGUAGUUCUUUUUGCAGGUCUCCUGGUCAAGCAAAAGAGUAAAGUUGCUGAAUUUUCUAAAUUCGGGCGUCCAACUAAAAUGUGUAGCACAUCAUGGUGGGACCGAUUCUAUAACCAGACAAGCUUAGAAGGAAGACGCACCAAGCAAGAAGUUUGAACAAGCCUGCCAAGUCUUUCACCUCAAGCAAGCCAUUGCAUUAGUCAGCCACCACUAAUCCAAACUAAAGCAUAUUCACACGUAAGGAAUUAAAUAGAUAAUUGUUAUUCUCCUUUGUAUUUUGCAACAAAGUCUUUGUCCAUGUAUCUAUGAACACCAUUUUUCAUAUUGAAUUUAAAUCAUUAGCAUCACCA
Brassica napus (rape) is the source of this 811-nucleotide long non-coding RNA. RefSeq lists it as uncharacterized. Lineage: Eukaryota; Viridiplantae; Streptophyta; Magnoliopsida; Brassicales; Brassicaceae. The record is from RefSeq and is a predicted model, not a curated record. The transcript has 3 exons.